RNAcentral lists this long non-coding RNA (222 nucleotides) under Calidris pygmaea (Spoon-billed sandpiper). RNAcentral's name for it is "lncRNA (ENSCPGG00000003618.1)". The record is from RNAcentral. Lineage: Eukaryota; Metazoa; Chordata; Aves; Charadriiformes; Scolopacidae.
AGAGGCAAAGAGACUUUCCAAGCUGAACUGCUUUACUGAAACAGCUACCUGUGCGUAUUUCUUUUAUUUGAGUUACUAAUGGCCCUUGAUGACCCAUAUGAGAUGAAGGGAAUCAAAUGUAUUCCUCCCAGGACAACCACAAGACUUCCAAACAAGUUGGCAUGUGAUACAGUAAUUGUCUUAUUCGCAUUCCUGUCUUCUUUGCUUGUUAGGUGAGUUUGU